RNAcentral lists this long non-coding RNA (319 nucleotides) under Androctonus crassicauda. The record is from RNAcentral. Lineage: Eukaryota; Metazoa; Arthropoda; Arachnida; Scorpiones; Buthidae.
AGGUGAAGAAAGUAGAUGAUCUACUUUCUUCACCUACUUUGUAUGGUGAUACCAAUCCAUCAAUUCAGAAAAAUGAUUAAAUUAACAAAACAAUUAUGGAAAUGUAGUGACUGUCUGAAUGAUGAUGCCUUUCUAGAAAAUUCUAUUGAGAAAGAAAACCUCUUGAAUCAUAAUAUUGGUGAGAUAUUUCAAAGUAUAAUAGAGACUGCUUUGUGUAAUUAUAAGACUAGAUUAUGCAGGAAAUUUUGAAAUCUUUUAAUGAUGGUAUAAAAGUUAAAAUAAAAUCAAUAAUGAGAAUAUCGUAUCCAUGUACUUGGAG